This 29-nucleotide non-coding RNA is filed under the name Rattus norvegicus (Norway rat). Lineage: Eukaryota; Metazoa; Chordata; Mammalia; Rodentia; Muridae. The record is from RNAcentral.
UCUGAGCUGACUGCCUUCUCUGAGCUGGC